AUUUCUUAGAUUAAAAAGUAAAUAAACGUGGUAAAAUACAAUGAAAUAUUCAAUAAAAGCAUGCGAAUCGUUGAUAGAAACAGAAAUAGAAAGAUUGUGUUAAUGCCUCACCUACUAAGCUACUAGUCAAG
This is a long non-coding RNA of Octopus sinensis (East Asian common octopus), 131 nucleotides long. RefSeq lists it as uncharacterized. Lineage: Eukaryota; Metazoa; Mollusca; Cephalopoda; Octopoda; Octopodidae. The record is from RefSeq and is a predicted model, not a curated record. The transcript is spliced from 3 exons.